GGGCCCGCACAAGCGGUGGAGCAUGUGGUUUAAUUCGAUGAUACGCGAGGAACCUUACCAAGGCUUAAAUGUAAAACGACCAGUUGAGAAAUCAACUUUUUUUCGAACGGUUUACAAGGUGCUGCAUGGUUGUCGUCAGCUCGUGCCGUGAGGUGUCGGGUUAAGUCCCAUAACGAGCGCAACCCCUAUCUUUAGUUACCAGCGAGUAAUGUCGGGAACUCUAGAAAAACUGCCUGUGCAAACAGAGAGGAAGGUGGGGAUGACGUCAAAUCAUCACGGCCCUUAUGUCUUGGGCUUCACGCAUGCUACAAUGGCCGGUACAGAGGGCUGCAAUACCGCAAGGUGGAGCGAAUCCCAAAAAGCCGGUCUCAGUUCGGAUUGAGGUCUGCAACUCGACCUCAUG
This 403-nucleotide ribosomal RNA is filed under the name uncultured bacterium. RNAcentral describes it as "bacterial SSU rRNA". It matches the Rfam family "Bacterial small subunit ribosomal RNA", at positions 917 to 1322 of the family's 1533-position model. The record is from RNAcentral.